GCUCAGUUCAGAUCGUAGGCCGCAACUCGCCUACGUGAAGGAGGAAUCGCUAGUAAUCGCAGGUCAGCAUACUGCGGUGAAUACGUUCCCGGGCCUUGUACACACCGCCCGUCACACCAUGGAAGUUGGCCACGCCCGAAGCCGUUACUCCAACCCUUGUGGAGGAGGACGUCGAAGGUGGGGCUGAUGACUGGGGUGAAGUCGUAACAAGGUAUCCGUACCGGAAGGUGCGGAUGGAUCACCUCCUAA
RNAcentral lists this ribosomal RNA (249 nucleotides) under uncultured cyanobacterium. RNAcentral describes it as "partial 16S ribosomal RNA". It matches the Rfam family "Bacterial small subunit ribosomal RNA", at positions 1286 to 1533 of the family's 1533-position model. The record is from RNAcentral. Lineage: Bacteria; Bacillati; Cyanobacteriota.